This is a long non-coding RNA of Heterocephalus glaber (naked mole-rat), 3134 nucleotides long. The record is from Ensembl. NCBI's taxonomy places the organism in Eukaryota, Metazoa, Chordata, Mammalia, Rodentia, Bathyergidae.
GUCAGACCGCGGGGGUGGCGGCCGGGCCCACAGACCCCGCUCCGCCGGCCCUGCUCCGCCGCCCCGCCGCUCCCCGCGCGCCGGCGGCCAAGGGCGCCGUGGUGUCACGGGCGGGGGCGGGCAGAGCCGAGCGGGGCCGGCGGGGACCUGGGACCCGCGCCCGCGCCCCCGCCCGGGCCUCGCCGCCGGCCGGGCGCAGCGCGGGGCUCGCGCUUUGUGCCGCGAGUGACAGCGACACAAAGGGGCGCGGGCGCGGGCGCGGGGCCCCGCCGCCUUCCGCCCUUCCUCCGUCCUCCCUGGGCCUCUGCCUCCCCGGCUUCUACGGACUUUGCUGUUGCUGCGAAGUAAAGUGCGGCCUGGCCCGCGGGACGCGCCUCCCUCGGGUUACGGACUCGCCGACGGGCGCGGGUGCCCGGGCGUCGGUCUCGGCUACGGCGCAGUGCGCUCGUGGUGACCGCCCGUCCGGGAGUAGAACCCACGCGUGGGUUUCAGAGCUCAGACCGCGCACUGUACUUUCCCCGCCCCAGUCGGAGUGUAAUGCAAACCCGAGUCCAAAAAAUACUCCUCAGGAGGCGACCCGCGCAGGAGGGACCCUGUGCCGGCGAAGUUGCUCCUGGGAGAGCACAGCUGUUGUUGGCUGGGUUAGGGCUCCGGGUAUUGUUGCUGCCUAGGGAAAGAAACCAUUCCAUUUGCAUUUUAAUGAAAGUUGAAACACCGAAGGGGAGGUAUCUGCGCUUCCCAAGGCGUUUGGAAUACAGUGUAGAUUUUAACGCCAUAGAUACUGGUUUCUUAAGAACGUGUGUUACUAAGCAGAGAAGUGUUGGUGAAAGAUUGGAGAGUUAAACUGAAGUUUAGGAGGCAUUUGUCAGCUUAAUAGGUGAACGGAAGGAAAAACAAUAACGGACAAUGCUGCAUGAAUCAGAUUGACGGUGUUUGUCCUCAGUAGCUUAAUUUGUAACUCUUGCUAUUCUGGUCUUUGGAAAGGUGGUUAGGUUUGUUUCAAUCAUUGAUACUGGAGGCGCUAGCACAGGGUCCCCAGGGGAAAACCAUCGCCCACGCUAGGAAGGGAGGCCGCUCAUUGGUUAGCGCAGGGCACGGAGGGCUUGGCCUGCUUGGGGAGCGUUUGUUGAGAAACUACCUUGGGAGGAGGGAAGUGCCUCGCUUUGUUUAAAUGCACGCACUUGCGGAGCUCUUCAGGCCUUCCUGGUCCUGGGCUGUGCUGUCAGGCCUGGAGGUGAAGUUCUGCGGGUGACGCGUGGUCCCAGCUUUGGCAGGUCGGUGUCACUCCCAGGGCCGGUGCAGUGCACCUGCCCGGACUCGCGAUUCUGGCUGUGACAGACUUCCAGAGUCCUCACGGGGCGCUGGGUUUGUAUUGCUGACAAAAACUGAAAUUAGUGUUUUGGUUUCACUUGUGGAAGCUCGAAUUUCUCUGCCGAUUCCUCCAGGGCUCCACCCAUACCCAGCGGUGCGAACCAAGGGCCACUGCUGAAAAGUGUUUCCUUGUUUGCUGAGCUUGCCACGAAACCCUUCUUAUGAUUCACAGACACACCUAGCAGAAACUAGUUUUCAUCCUGCCUGUAAUCCAUGUCAGUGAAUUAUUAUGAAAUUGCUGGAAAUAAAAACUUCCAAAGCUAUGGAUGUUUGAUGAUGUAGACUUGUUAGUAUUAUAGACUCUCUGGUAUUUGCAAAACAUUAGAUCUACUUUUUAAUGCUGUGAAUGCUUCUAAUACAAGUUCAGUGGUUUGUUUUGUUGUUUUGCUGUUGUUUGAGACAGAGUCUCUUUACAUUUCAUCACUAAAUUGCUCAGGCUGGGUUUGAACUUGCAGUCCUCCUGCCUCGGCCUCCCAGAAUGCUGGAAUUACAGGCAUGUGCUACCAUGGUUUAGGUGUUGAGAUACAGUUUUCUUUGUUUUGUAAAUAACCCAAUGAACUAUUUUCAUGUAAUUGUCUCCUAAUAUGGGGACAGGCCAAAACUUGGGACCAGCUGUCAGGACUGGUUCGUGAGAAUAACCCUUUCUCAGUGAUGCCACCAACCUGCCUGUUACACCCACAGCAGGCAAGCAUCGCCAAGCCAGCUUUACAGCUGCAGCCCUAAGUGUGGGAGAGCCGGGUUGCCAAGUGCAGCCACUGGUUAUCUUGGAAACACCGCUGCAGAACACAACCACAAGUGAUUGUGCCAAGCGUACAGUGUUUCCCGGGUCCAGAGCGCCAGGCGCUGCCUCGGCCUGCUGCCAGCGUAGUGAACUCUGUGACGUGAGAGGGUGAGUUUGGCCAGCACGGCUGGGCUGGCCAUGGCAGGAGAGAAGGUGCAGAAGGGGACAGCGGAGACCGCGGUGCCCAAGCUUGAUUAUUCCCAGCAGGAUUCAGACCCUGCACUGUACAGUGCACGAUCCCUGGCUUAAGCUAUUUCAUCUUUGCUCGAUAACAUUGAUUUGGGGUCGCCUACUCCAGAGUAGUACAUUGUAUCAGCUUCAACUUACACUUUCUCCCUUUAGUUACACGUGUCACCCUUCACAGUGCAGAGUAGCAGGGAGAGUUUACCCUUUCGUGGAAAGUAAGUUCAGCAAUAGUAACAACCUGCCUGGAGUUUGAAAAAGUUGGAACUCUCUGUUUUAUACUUACGGAAGAGUGUUCAGAACAGACUCUGAAAAAUCUGGGAAUGAAAAUACAAGAUGGAUAAACAACGGUGAAGUGUUUUGAAGGACUCGUGAGCGGGAACCAAUGAGCUGCCUCACUAAAUUACUGCAGGCUGGGACUCUGGGCCGUGGCCGCCAGGUGCUCCGCCCACCCCGCUGAGUGGCUGAGGAAGCGGGAUGGGCCCGCCACCGCCAGCAGGACAUGAGCUGAGGCAGGCGGUGAGGACGCAGCGUUGGGUAAGAGCAACAGCCAGUGAGCUGCGUGUCACCCCUCAAUACCCACGUGGUCCGCGCUGUCAGGGGCUAAGGUCUGUGAACACCUGGAGUUGCGUGUGGACUUCCAUGCACGUGAGGCUUCUACCCAGUCUGUCAUGUCUGCACUUUUUUUUUUUUUUUUUGAGGCAGGGUUUUGUUGUGUGGUUCAGGCUGACCUUGGACUUACCAUGUGGCCCAUGCUGGUGGCAAUCCUGCCUCAGCCUCCUGAGUGCUGGGAUUACAG